Molecule: ribosomal RNA, 1318 nt
Filed under: Micrococcus luteus
Lineage: Bacteria; Bacillati; Actinomycetota; Actinomycetes; Micrococcales; Micrococcaceae
Description: bacterial SSU rRNA
Rfam family: Bacterial small subunit ribosomal RNA
Source: RNAcentral
AGUCGAACGAUGAAGCCCAGCUUGCUGGGUGGAUUAGUGGCGAACGGGUGAGUAACACGUGAGUAACCUGCCCUUAACUCUGGGAUAAGCCUGGGAAACUGGGUCUAAUACCGGAUAGGAGCGUCCACCGCAUGGUGGGUGUUGGAAAGAUUUAUCGGUUUUGGAUGGACUCGCGGCCUAUCAGCUUGUUGGUGAGGUAAUGGCUCACCAAGGCGACGACGGGUAGCCGGCCUGAGAGGGUGACCGGCCACACUGGGACUGAGACACGGCCCAGACUCCUACGGGAGGCAGCAGUGGGGAAUAUUGCACAAUGGGCGCAAGCCUGAUGCAGCGACGCCGCGUGAGGGAUGACGGCCUUCGGGUUGUAAACCUCUUUCAGUAGGGAAGAAGCGAAAGUGACGGUACCUGCAGAAGAAGCACCGGCUAACUACGUGCCAGCAGCCGCGGUAAUACGUAGGGUGCGAGCGUUAUCCGGAAUUAUUGGGCGUAAAGAGCUCGUAGGCGGUUUGUCGCGUCUGUCGUGAAAGUCCGGGGCUUAACCCAGGAUCUGCGGUGGGUACGGGCAGACUAGAGUGCAGUAGGGGAGACUGGAAUUCCUGGUGUAGCGGUGGAAUGCGCAGAUAUCAGGAGGAACACCGAUGGCGAAGGCAGGUCUCUGGGCUGUAACUGACGCUGAGGAGCGAAAGCAUGGGGAGCGAACAGGAUUAGAUACCCUGGUAGUCCAUGCCGUAAACGUUGGGCACUAGGUGUGGGGACCAUUCCACGGUUUCCGCGCCGCAGCUAACGCAUUAAGUGCCCCGCCCGGGGAGUACGGCCGCAAGGCUAAAACUCAAAAGGAAUUGACGGGGGCCCGCACAAGCGGCGGAGCAUGCGGAUUAAUUCGAUGCAACGCGAAGAACCUUACCAAGGCUUGACAUGUUCUCGAUCGCCGUAGAGAUACGGUUUCCCCUUUGGGGCGGGUUCACAGGUGGUGCAUGGUUGUCGUCAGCUCGUGUCGUGAGAUGUUGGGUUAAGUCCCGCAACGAGCGCAACCCUCGUUCCAUGUUGCCAGCACGUAGUGGUGGGGACUCAUGGGAGACUGCCGGGGUCAACUCGGAGGAAGGUGAGGACGACGUCAAAUCAUCAUGCCCCUUAUGUCUUGGGCUUCACGCCUGCUACAAUGGCCGGUACAAUGGGUUGCGAUACUGUGAGGUGGAGCUAAUCCCAAAAAGCCGGUCUCAGUUCGGAUUGGGGUCUGCAACUCGACCCCAUGAAGUUGGAGUCGCUAGUAAUCGCAGAUCAGCAACGCUGCGGUGAAUACGUUCCCGGGCCUUGUACA